Molecule: ribosomal RNA, 253 nt
Filed under: uncultured bacterium
Lineage: Bacteria
Description: partial 16S ribosomal RNA
Rfam family: Bacterial small subunit ribosomal RNA
Source: RNAcentral
UACAGAGGGUGCAAGCGUUGCUCGGAAUUAUUGGGCGUAAAGGGUAGGUAGGUGGUCUUAUGAGUCUGAGGUGAAAGCCUUGAGCUUAACUCGAGAAGUGCCUCAGAAACGGUAAGACUAGAGUUCUGGAGAGGGUCGUGGAAUUCCCGGUGUAGCGGUGAAAUGCGUAGAGAUCGGGAGGAACACCAGAGGCGUAAGCGGCGACCUGGACAGAAACUGACACUCAACUACGAAAGCGUGGGGAGCAAACAGG